UUAUAGGCUCCUUUUGGAGCCACUCUUAUCUAUAAAAAUAUUCAU
Non-coding RNA from Harpegnathos saltator (Jerdon's jumping ant), 45 nucleotides. The record is from Rfam. NCBI's taxonomy places the organism in Eukaryota, Metazoa, Arthropoda, Insecta, Hymenoptera, Formicidae.